GUGCUGGAAGAAGCUGGCUUUUAGUUCAAGCAGGAGAAUUACAUUAUUCUAAUUGUAUACUCUUACUCUAAUCUUUUUCUUUAGGAAUUAAGCCAGGAUAGUCCACCAGCUUUCACUAAUUAUUAAGUAAAAAGACUAUUUUUAAAAUUUGUAUAUUGGAAACUUAAGGAAAUAAAACUGAAAAGCGACUGAAUCUGAAUUUUAAGAGAUAUAUAUUACAUAUACACACAUACACACACAUAGAAUUGCUUGAAGUGAAAAAGUAUCUUUUUUAAAAAGAAAAACUUUACUAUAAUUUUUUAAAUUUCUAAUAAUCCUUUUACCUGAAUUAUUGAAGUGAUUCCUCAUACCUAAUUUAUGAUCUCAGAAUGAUAAUUUUGGGGUCAGAAAAUGACUGUGGGUAUUUAUUUUUAGUAAUGACAAUUUCAAGUGUUGCAGCUUAUAUAGAGAGAGGUAUCGGUAUGCAAACCAUCUUUGAUCAUUACUUUGUGAUGAAUUGGGUAUAGAUUCUAAAGAAAUAUUUUAAUUAAGUAAUAUUUUGUUUCAGAUUCAACCAACUCUGGCGAUAACAUGUAUACUUUAAUGAAUGCAGUACCUCCUGGACCUAACAGACCUAAUUUUCCAAUGGGCCCUGGGUCAGAUGGUCCCAUGGGUGGAUUAGGAGGAAUGGAGUCACAUCACAUGAAUGGCUCUUUAGGCUCAGGAGAUAUGGACAGUAUUUCCAAGAAUUCUCCCAAUAAUAUGAGCCUGAGUAAUCAACCGGGCACUCCAAGGGAUGAUGGCGAAAUGGGGGGAAAUUUCUUAAAUCCUUUUCAGAGUGAGAGUUACUCCCCUAGCAUGACAAUGAGCGUGUGAUCCAUUACCAAGUCUCCUCAUGAAAACCACAGUGAGUCAGCCCUUCACAGAACUACUACGGAAGAAAAU
Molecule: small RNA, 924 nt
Filed under: Pongo abelii (Sumatran orangutan)
Lineage: Eukaryota; Metazoa; Chordata; Mammalia; Primates; Hominidae
Description: retained intron
Source: RNAcentral